Molecule: ribosomal RNA, 498 nt
Filed under: uncultured bacterium
Lineage: Bacteria
Description: partial 16S ribosomal RNA
Rfam family: Bacterial small subunit ribosomal RNA
Source: RNAcentral
GAUGAACGCUAGCGGCAGGCCUAAUACAUGCAAGUCGAACGAUACUUUCCAGCUUGCUGGAAAGGAAAGUGGCGCACGGGUGCGUAACGCGUAUGCAACCUACCUUAAUCAGGGGGAUAGCCCGAAGAAAUUCGGAUUAACACCGCAUAAAAUCACAGUACAGCAUUGUACAAUGAUCAAAUAUUUAUAGGAUUAAGAUGGGCAUGCGUGACAUUAGCUAGUUGGCGGGGUAACGGCCCACCAAGGCGACGAUGUCUAGGGGAUCUGAGAGGAUGACCCCCCACACUGGUACUGAGACACGGACCAGACUCCUACGGGAGGCAGCAGUAAGGAAUAUUGGUCAAUGGAGGCAACUCUGAACCAGCCAUGCCGCGUGCAGGAAGACAGCCCUCUGGGUCGUAAACUGCUUUUAUUCGGGAAUAAACCUACUUACGUGUAAGUAGCUGAAUGUACCGAAGGAAUAAGGAUCGGCUAACUCCGUGCCAGCAGCCGCUGUAA